GUGGGAAGCGAGGCUCCUCUGCAGUUAUUUCCACAGCUCGCCGGCUGGGCUCUCAGAGCGCGAGCUGGUGACCCAAAAGAAGGGUGUUGCCCUCUCCUCACAACACUGAUCCUGCACGCUGCCUCCUGCUGCUGCUGCCGCCGCUUCAUGCAAAUCACACCCCUGGCUGAGAGCGAGCAAGCAAGCAGAUUGCUGUCUUGGGAGCAUCUGGCUGUGGAUUUAGUCGGGGAAGGAGGUUGUUGCUGCUGCUGCUCCUGCGCGCCUGAGCUGCUCGGCAAGAAAGGUUCUUGUUCUUCAGUUAAACUUAGACCUUUACAGAAGCUAAACAUUAAGAAAGGACUGAGUUAACAAGAUCUUGAUGUACAAGAACAAAAAUAUUAAAAUCUCCUACAUCUGAAAAACAAGAAGAGUCGUCUGACCGGCUGUGUACAACUGGAAACUACACCUGCAUGAAAGCUUCCUCGGCUCAUCCCUUCCAAAUCCCCUCCUGGUUCUUGGAAACAGUGGUUCAAGAGAAGGUGAGGAAGCACCUGGUCCUUCACUUGCCUGACUUGCCUCUUCUUCUUCCUCCUCCUCUUCUCACCAAUCCUGUGCUCCACGCUCAAGCUCUGAAGCUACCUACCCUCUGACUCUUGUAUCCUGGCCAGUCCAGUUCCUCACAAAUCUGACCCCCUCUCCCGAGUCAGACUCCAGCCUCCCUCCCCCUAGUGUGCACACUCAUUAGCAUCCUGACAGUCCCUGACAGCUGGUAUGGAAGAGGGAGAGAGAAUGAGAAUGAAUGAAUAUGAAUUGGUAUUGUGACAGGCGUAUUGUAAGAGAGUAUCGUUUUUCUCUUCUAGGGUUAUUGAGGAAUUGCUUUUCAGCUCAUUAGUUAGGCACUUUCUUGUACAUUUGUCAACACACACACCCUUCUCGUUUCUUAAUUCUCUGUCAAUUGCUUUCUGCAGCGUAUCUAGAAAUAACACAGAGAGAGAAAGAAUGCAGAGGGGUGGUGUUUAGCUGAAUCACUCUCUGGGUUUUCAGUGAUGGAAAUAACAUCUAGACCACACCCUACAUUUGUCUGGGCUUCUGGCUUGUUUCUGGGUAGUCAGUUGCUGUGCAUAUCCUACUUUUGGCCCCACUUUUUGAGGCUCAGUCUCACCACCUACCCAGGUUCAGAAGAAGACACGAGCGUUGCCCCAGUUCCCCUCUGCACAGAGCAGAACCACCUCUUGCCUACAUUGAUUCUAGCAUAGCAGAUCUGAAAAAAAAUUAUUUGCAUACCCUCCUUAGUAGAUACUCAAGUGUAUGAUUCACACUACACUGAAUCAGCAGCAGAGCUACAGUUCAUUUUGAAACCAGAGUGUGCCCACAGUUCAUUCCUACUCAUUCACCUCCUAUGCAAAGUCUUUUAAACAGCAGUGAAAAUUACAUAGUCGUGAGAGCUAGGCUGUAUAUUUGUAGUAAAUGAGGAGCAAAACAGAUUGAGUUGCAAAAGUAAAGGGGAGGAAUCUUCUUAAGAAAACAGUUUCCAGUCCACAGAUGUUCAGAUGAAACCUUCUGUUGGAGUUGUUUUUUCCCCUCUUAAUGUUGUUUUCAGGAAGCCAUGUGUGUUUAACUAAGGGUGUGUUCAGGCUUUUGCCUCAGCAUAUGAAUGCUAUAUCUGUGGAUGGGGCAUAGGUCCUGCCCCCAACAUCCCCUUGCUUCUUGUCCCACACCGUCAGUCCUGGACUUUCGCUACACUGAGUGGGGAAGGUCUGCAAAGAGCUUUAUAGUCGGUAGAACACCAUACAUGAUCGGGGAUCUUACUUUACCAGGGUCCCUGAUCACAUGGAUGGUUCUGCUUGCAUUCAGGCAGGAGCUGAGAGGGAAGCAGUACACACAUUGUUGUAGGCAGCAGCUUUGCAUGCAUUCUCCUGUCCACCCUUUGAACAUUCAUGUGAACACCUGAAGACAUCUUUAAGGCUUGAGGCCUAUACCUACUACUCUGGGAGUAAAGGUAAAAAAAAAAAGUACAGAAACGCGGCUGGCGCUGUAUCUAAACCAUUGAGCCUCUUGGGCUUGCCAAUCAGAAGGUCGAUGCUUCAAAUCCCUGCAACAGGAUGAGCUCCCAUUGCUCUGUCCCAGCUCCUGCCAACCUAGCAGUUUGAAAGCAUACCAGUGCAAGUAGAUACAGUACACAGCAAGUACUGCUGUGGCGGGAAAGUAAACGGGAUUUCCUUACUCUCUGUUUUCCAUCCCGGUGUUCCGUUGUGCCAGAAGUGGCUUAGUCAUGCUGGCCACAUGACCCAGAAAGCUGUCUGUGGACGAACCCCAGCUCCCUCAGCCUGAAAAGCGAGAUGAGUGCCAAACCCCAUAGUUGCCUUUGACUAAGCAUAACCAUCUGGGGUCCUUUAUCUUUACCUUACUCUGCGAGUACGCCCAUUGCAUUCACUGGGGUUUACUAUCGUGUAGACAUGUAUUAAAGGAUUGCACUGUAAAACUCAUUUUAAAAGUUAACACACAGUAGUUCUCUGUGGAUGCUGUUGUGCUGUUUCACAGCAAGUGCCAAGCUUGUUCAUGUCUCACUGUGUGAAGGUUAUAUCCAGCACUUCUAAAAAUCACUCCCUGAAAGCACAGUGCUAAUUCUCUCUCCAAGGUUUGCAGGUCUUCAAAUGUUAGCCUCUCAUUAAAUCAUUAAAUUAUCAUUUAUAUUUGUCUAAAUGAAGUAGCGGAGCAUUAAAAAUACAUUCGUUCUGGUAGAGCUAUUUCAAUUUCCCAUAGACUGGCCAAUGGACUUAACUUUAAAUUUGGUGCAUACAACUGUUUUUGCAAAAUGAUGGUGAACACAUAGCAGAUUGUUCAAAAGUGUUUAUAUUGCAAUGCAUUAAUAUAAUAUAUAUUUGGAAAUUUAUAUAAUUUCUUUUUUUUUAAGUGCUCAUCUAGUUGUUUAAUAAACAAAACUGCCUGGCAAACAAAUCAUGUUGCUAAAUAUAGUCAAAAUGAUCUUUGUUUCUCCUUUAAACAGAGCUAGAGAUCUCUCACACCAGCAUAAGUCUUACGCUGUAAGAGUCUCUUCCCAGAAACUUCUUUCUAUGACAUUUCCAUACUGGUUUGGAAGCCAGAACACUAGUGUGUGUGCCCAGUUACACAGUCCUUCCCAUCCAGUCACUGCCCUCUCUUACACAAGAGUCUUACACAAUUGGAACACAGACCCCCCCACCAGACCCCAUGUGAUUCUGAGCUUCCAAAUGUUAAACAAGGUAGGGGAAAGAGCUAUGGAGAUAAGAUUCCUGCACUGCUUCAAUAUUAUAAAAAGGGCCUUAGAUUACCUACAAAUGUGAGUUGUACACAUUGCCUUAUGUCAAUAUCGUUGACCACUGGGCCACACUGGGCAUGUUAUCCUCCAUUAAACAUCACUGUGGUUAUUGGUGUAUUAAUACAGCUGUCUGAAUGGCCCUGUUUUCCCCUAAAUAUUCCCUUAUUCAUGAAACAGCUGCCAUUUCGCCUUAAAGAGUGAAUAACUUCAUAAAUAAUUUUGAACCCUCUGAGGUUAAUACAAAAUUGGGGAAACCCCGCUUUCUGGGGAUCAUAAAAUAGGUAAAAGCACACCUGUUAAAACAGAACCCUGUGCUUUGAACCUCCUUAUACUGCCUAUCACCUGAUUCCACAAAGAGUCCAUUGAUUUAGCUGACAUUAAGAAUGACAGAUCUGGGUUCAUUAAAAAAAAAACACCACCUAGAUACUCUCUGAAGCUAUCCUGUUUCCACACAUAUAAAUACAAGGUCUUACCCAACAGUAGUUCUUAAGCAGUUUUUUUUUUAAAAAAAAUUAAUCUUGCCAGAAUUUCUGUCUCCCAAGUGUGCUGUGGUUUGUAGAUAGUUUUACAGAUUUUUUUAAAAAAUUCUCAUGCAGAUCUGAAAGAUUUGUACAGCAAACCCUUAAUAAACACACAUAAACACACACACACACACACACACACACACACACACACACACACAAUAUCAUAGACAUCUCACAAGAAACAAUGGAAUGUCAGGGAGCGCUGGUAAAUCUCUGAGCCAAGGCCAUAGCAUGCCAGCUUGGCUACCGGUAUUAUUGAUGGCGUUGCAUUGUGAUAUGUAUGCACCAGCAUGGGUGAAGCUUGUUGAAAAUGAUCCAUACUGCAUCUAAAUCACCCUGCUCAAUACUGUGUGUGCUUUUGGCAACACCAGCACUACUUUUAGCAGCACCUUCAUAGUACAAUGUUAGUGCUGCUGUCUGGCCAGCACUGGCUCGUUUCUUUCUAAGAUAGGGAUAGGACUUAGCUGAGUUGUUUGCACCACUUGACAGUGGGAGCCACAAAAUUCAAAAUAUGAAACCCACUUGUAAUCUAAAGGAUCUUCAGCUUUCCACACCUUAUCGUAGCUGCCUUCAGGCAUUCAGGGUGAAUGCAAGAGGGGACCUCACAUGUAAAAGCAACCAAGCCCCACCCCACAGACACCUGUGUGCACAUUGGCUAUGCCCCCCACCAGCCAAAGGUGAAAUUUGUGUCUGACUGUGUGGAUGUAUGAGGGCAAUGUCCCUUACACAGGGCCAUGAACGCUGAUCAGCGUGGGUUUCUUUCCUCAUGGAGUGAGCCCUGAUUACAUCUGCACGUACAUAGGCCCUCCUCAGACUGACUGUGACAGCAUGUCAGCCAGGGGGUGUGACUGGUGUAGGUGUCUAGUUAGUAGGUAAGGAUGUAGACUAAGAGCUAAAGCUCCCACCAAACCCUGAUCCAACUUCAGUUCCUGCUGCUAUUAUUUUUAAAUAAUUAAAUGUAGCAUUAAGUGGGAUAUGCACAGGUGAAAUUGAGUUUUCCCUGUCCUCCCCCCCCCAUGCCCUCCAAACCGGGGUUUUCCCUCAACCCUCCAGAGCAGGCUUAGAGGGCACAAGGAGAGGAGAGGGGGGGAAUCUCAUUGCACAAGUGGCCUUUGUUCCACUUACACAACAACUUAGUUGAAUCCUGCCUAAUGGCUCAUCCAUGAAUUUUCAUUCUUAAUUGCUGCCCUACACACACACAAACACACAAAGACAGUAUUGGGGUUAACUUAUUAAUCUAUCUCACAGAUGUAUUGUAAGAAUAACUGAGAUGUGUAUGUGUGAAUGUUGAAAAGCACUAUGUAAGCCCUGUGCGUGAUUUGCUGUCAAAUACCUAAAGAUCUGAAAUGGUUGUACCUGCUGCAUCAAUGCAGUGUAAAACUUUUAGGAAUUGACUUAAUGCAGUUAUAUAUAUAUAAAAGCCUGCUCUGUUCCUGAUAUUUAAUAAACAUUCAGUCUGUUAGGAAAGUAAGCCUCUUCUUGUGACAGCCAUAGGUUUCUGUUAGCCUUAAAGCAGAAGAAUGCGUGCUUAACAAUUAUACAACUCAGUACUUUCAGAACUGACAAAGUGUGGCAGUUUCUUCUCAUUUAACUAAAAAGCAUGCCGUGCUGUGGAAAGGUCUUCCCAGUGAUAAGCCUCACAGCUUGGUGACUGAAACUGACAAGAGGGAGUGAAAGUAGAAUAUUCAAGCAGUAUUUUUAGUACCUUAUGCUGGGUUUGUAUUAUAUUGGUACGUGACCCCAUGUGCAUCCAGUCAUUGCAUUUCAUUCACCUAAGGGCAAACAGAUGUUCCAAAAGUCUGUUGGCAGCUAAGCCACCCCUCUUGUCUAGCAACAUAACAUUGUAAAUGAUAGCAGGUUGUGCAAUUUAUGGCCUGGCAAAUCUCUGUCUGUAGCCAAGAACAACCAUAUUGUUUAACUUCAACCAUAAGCACCCCUUGGUCCAUGGCAGCUGGUGAUCAUGGACCUGCGAAUGCAGAAGCAACACUGGUUUGUCAAAAUGGGCACAACUUGAAACUGGGAGGCCCACAACAGAAAGAACAAUGCAGAGGCAUCCAACGUCAAAAUACGAAAUAAUUAUAUGGAGAUCUUAUACUAAAAGAGAGUGCAGCAGGGCCGGUCCACCCAUGAGGCAGGCAAGGUGACUGUCUCACGUGGCAGGAUCCACAGGAACAGCAGGUCUACCCUCCAGGGAAUGCACCGUCAUCGUCUGCUGCUGCUGUUGCUGCCACUGCUGCAGAGGAGCAACAACUAGGGUGCACCCUUGGAGGUCAGAUCUCCAGCAUUCUCAGCAGUCCCCCCACCCACCCACCCACCCACCCAUGCCAGCUCUAUAGUAGCCUCUUGGCAAACAGAAGGAGCUGCUGUUCUCCUCCCGCUCUUGUUCCUGAUCAUUAUUGUCCCCUUGUUCCUGUAGUAGAUCUUCACUCAUCCCUGACAUGGGUGCACCAUUUUGUGGUUUGCCUCAGGUGCCAAAAUGUCUUGGGUUGGCCCUGGAAUGCAGCCUACCUGAAGCACACAGUAUAGGGGAAUAUAACAGUGCUCUGUUCAUCUACACCAGCCUUCCCCAGCCUGGUGCCCUCCAGAUGUUUUAGAUAUCAGUCCAUCAGCCCUGGCCCCCAGCACUGUGCUGGUGCACUAGGCUGAAGGGCACCAAGUUGAGGAAGGCUUAUCUGUACAAUUAAUUGAGACACUACAAGAGCACUAUUAUUCUCUGAGAAGCACAUGAUUUUUAUUUUGUGAGUUUGAAGCUGACUUUAUGAAGUUUGAUCACUGGUUCAUCAAGCUAAGAGCUGUUUACUUCAACUGUCAGGCUCUCCAUAGCAACCUUUCCCAGUUUAGUGCCCUCCACAUCUUUUGGACUAUGGAUGAAUCUACACUGGUUGGUUAUAAUGUUAAAAAUGUGUUAUAAAAAUGCGACACCAGAGGGCACUGUAGAGCAGUGAUCUGUCAGCAAUAGAAAACUGCAUUGAGUGCUAUAUUACAUUUUUACAGCUCAGUGUAGAUCCAGCUUAUAAAUCCAUUGCCAAUGCUGGGAGGGGCAUCGAAGGGAGUUUUAGUUUUAAACAUUUGAAGGGCACCGGGUUGAGGAGACCUGCUUUAGAGUAUUAGGCAUUGCUGAUUCUGAGCUUUUGUUUCCCAUCAUCCUUUACCUUGAGACUCAGGGAACAUGGGACCUUUUCCAUGCAAAGACAUGUGUUUUCCAUUUCUGAGCUAUAGCUCUGAGUUUUAGGUCAUCAGGUGUAAUAGUGAUAAUUUUAUAUAGCAUUACUAAGUUUAUUUCAGUUAUAGAAUGUAGGAGGCCCACAAAUUCCUCAAAUCGAAUGCUGUAAAUUUUAAAUUUAACUGGUGUAGAUUUCAAGUUGCACAGUAAAGAUCAUUGGGGGGGGGGGGGAAUUGGAUGUUGAAAGGGCAUGCCUUCACUUUCCUUUGAUAUUAAGUAAAUAUACUCUCCUUGGGGGGAAAAGUGCAUUCUAUAAAUCCAUCUUUCCUACUUUAUAUUACUAAAGUCACCAGUGGAUAAAGUUCAAAGUAAUAGCACUUUCCUCACUACGAGAUGCUGUUUCAAGCAGCAGUAUUCAUCAAUAUUUUAUAGUGCUGACUAAGCCAAGCUAGAAGCAAAUUGCUCGCGCUCUCUUUGCCUGAUGGGUUUCCUUAUCUUAUCUAGUAAUCUUUUUGUUUCUGAUGGAAAUUAAUCAAUCUUCACAAGGCCACAGCUAACUCUUGCUUUUCAAGUCAUGCAAGUGUUACUUCUCUUCUUUUCCUAAAUGUUUGUUUCUGGCACAUUGCAAAACAGUUGUUUUUCCAUUCUUCCUUCUGUGCGGAUAUGUGAGACUAAGAGCCAAAAUGGAUGUAAUGCCGGAUUUGUUAAUAGGAUGUUCCAUAUUGUUGUUAUUGCUGCUACAGUGUGUGAUACUUACAUCAGGACUGAAGUGCUGGCGGAAGUUGAUUUUAACCUCUUUGCCUGUGCUGUAUUUCUGAUUAAAUUCUCAUGCCACCCAAAAGAACUUCUAUUUGUCAUGUGGGCAAAAAUAUCCAAGUAUUAUGUGGGUAUUUGCCUUAUCAAAAGAUUAGCUGGUAACUAACCUUUUCUUACUAACUGAUUUCCACCAGAACAUAAGAUAAGCUUUGCUGGAGCAGACCAAGAGUCUUCUAGUCUGGGAUCUUUUUCAGCCCCAUAGUAACCAGCCAGAUGUUUCCUCAAAAGCCAGUGGGGUGUUGUUGUUUUUAACAAUAUGCUUUUUAAAGGAAUAAUUCUUGCUAUCAUCAUCAUCAUCAUCAAUUUUGUACCACUUAUACAAAAAAAAAUAUUACAGUCCACGUUUCCCCUCCAAAAAUGAGUCACUCAAAGAGGCUUACAAAACACUUUAACAGCAAUAACAUUCCUUCCUUGACUUCACUCAUUUACCAUUCUGGCAUCUUCUUGAACUUGGUGUGUAACUUUCCUGAUCUGUGGUACACGAUUUAUCUGAACUUCUUUUAAAAUGAUUUUAAGUAACUUCCAAAUGUCCUAAAGGAGCUUGGCCCUUAUAACUUUCCUGCUUAACUAAUCUCUUCAUUUUUGAGGUUCUCUCUUCUUCUCCUUUUAAAUAAUUUGUGAGCGUGUCAGACUUUCUUCUUACUUACGUGUUGAAUUUCACUGCAGUCUGGUCACUGUUCCUGACCCAUUCAACAAUGCUUACAUCCCACAUCAGGUCCUCAGGAUUAACUCAGAGGUUGCCUCUGCAAAAUCACAGAUGGAGAGAAACAAACAUGAUCAUUAGGUCUAAUUAGGAUCAAAUAUUUAGUAAGCUCUUGUAGCUGAACCGCAUGUACUCACGGAGGCUGAGAAAUUGUUUGGGGGUAAUGUGCUGUAGAAGUAACAACUGAAGUAUGCAUGGUUGAAUAAACCUCUUCAGAGAUUUUUCACCCCUUGCGGAAUGUCUUUUAGCUAACUAGAAUUUUUUUCAUACUCAAUAUAUUACUUUCCCACCAUUUUGAGUAUCUACAUCAAAAUGCAUUUGCAAUAUAAAUACAUGCAGAAGGAAGUGUAAAUUCUGCUGUCGUUUAUAAGUUUAGGUAGCCACCUGAAAUGUCAGAAAACAGGAAUAUUAAAUAAUUGCUACUUAUAUCUUUAAAAUGUUUGUUUUCAUCAAGCUGCAUAAAAGUGGUAAAGAAUUUAAAAUAAUUACUCACACAUGCAAAAAUUAGUAUCUCCCUGCUUAUAUGUAAUUUAUGCGACACGGGACAGGAGCUGGGCUGAUAUACAAAACAGCCAAGUGCUAAACUAAUUUGGGCUCAUCUGGACUUGCAAAAAUCACUGGGACUUCAAAUUAGUUUUGUGAAAGCAUGGUCUUGGGUCCAACAAAUGUACUUGAAAUUAAUGUCUCUUUGGGACAAUGCAUAACUUUUUGUUGUUGUUGUUGUUAAAGUGCAGUACCUUCACUGUCCCUCUUCCCAUAUGUAAAGUGAACUUCAACAAAAGCAGUUUAUUUUGUUUAAAGAGUUGAUGCAGUUAAUGAUGUACCAAAACUACAAAUAAUUCAUUUGAGUGAGACUCAAACAGUAAUAGUUUCUACAUAUUAGUCCUUCAAACACUGCAUUGUUAUAAGGUCAUAAUUGAUUGAUGGGACGCGGGUGGCGCUGUGGUCUAAACCACUGAGCCUCUUGGGCUUGCUGAUCGGAAGGUCGGUGGUUCGAAUCGUUGUAAUGGAGUGAGCUCCGGUUGCUCUGUCCCAGCUCCUGCCAACCUAGCAGUGCAAGUAGAUAGCACACCAGUGCAAGUAGAUAAAUAGGUACUGCUGUGGCAGGAAGGUAAACAGCAUUUCCAUGCGCUCUGGUUUCCGUCACGGUGUUCCGUUGCUCCAGAAGCGAUUUAGUCAUGCUGGUCACAUGACCAAGAAAGCUGUCUGUGGACAAACGCCGGCUCCCUUGGCCUGAAAGCGAGAUGAGCGCCGCAACCCCAUUGUCACCUUUGACUGGACAUAACCAUCCAGGGGUCCUUUACCUUUACCUUCUUACCUAUACAGUAAUUGAUUGCUUUGUGGGCUAUUAGUCUGGUCUGUAUGUCAUAGCAGACCAUCGUGUUUUCUUAUUAUAUGUCUGUCACAUAGGGGCUGGGGUGUUAAGAGAGAGGGGGUGGAAUUUUGUGUUCCUUCUCUCGCCAGCAUAACCCAUGUUUAAUGUUGUCUCAGCAGUUAUGCCAGCCAAAGCUAAAUAUCUAACCCAGGGAUUGGUAGUGAGGGUCCUCCGGGUAUUUUGGACUAGAUUUCUCAGCAGCCCUAGGCACCAUGGUAAAUGUUGUUGUUGUUGUUUAGUUGUUUAGUCGUGUCCAGCUCUUCGUGACUCCAUGGACCAGAGCACGCCAGGCACUCCUGUCUUCCACUGCCUCCCGCAGUUUGGUCAGACUCAUGUUGGUAGCUUUGAGAACACUGUCUAUUUACCAUGAACACUGUCUAUUUACCAUGGUAAAUAGUUAGGUGCAAUGAGAUUUUUAGUCCAAAAGUCUGGAGGGAACCAUCAUAUUGGCUAUCCCUUGUUAAGAGUUCCAUGGCUGUGUCUGCAUUAGCACUGGGAGAACUGUGAGAGACUUCUACAUCACUCAGAUUAAGUUCUACUGAACAGCUGGAAAAGGUAAAGCUUUGCAAGGCACAAGGAGGCUUUGCUACUCCUGUCCAACAAUUCGAUGUUUGUUGAGACACUAUCAUGAGAUAGCUGCAUAUCCCUGUAUUGCAGGGAUGAUCCUCGGAGUCCCUUCCACCUCUACAAUUCUGUGAUUCUGAUUCAUUGUCAGCCACAUAAUAUGAGAAUAUGGUGAUUAACAGACAACAAGCAAAGAAACACAGUGUUCUGCAGUACAGCAAAGUUUAGCAAUCCGUGUUCUAGUUUUCCCUGAACUCAGCUGACACUGUUCAUACCUUCAAAGAAACUGUGAAAGGAAGAAUGGCUUCUGGUGUCUCACAAGAAGUAGAAUUCAUGGGUUUCCUUCAGGACUACUAGAAGCCACUGAUGUUCUCUACAGGGGAAUGCCAUGAGUCCAACUUGACACAAGUAGUAGGGGAGGGAGAAGAAUAUUAAAUUUAUCAAGUUUCUUCUUUUACUUCUUUGGAAGUAUGAACCAGUUCUUAGACUCUGAUAUUGGUUCUUCUAGGCUUUGUUGUGUGGUGUUCUGACUCGCUUAUGUAUAUUCAAUAUAAGCAGCUGGCAGCUGGAACUGAAUGUUAAAUAUAUAAUCAGCAGUCCAGACAAGGCAGAAUACUAAAAGGGACAAAAAUAAAAUAAAAAAGGAAGCCAAAUCUAUUUGACACUCUUCCAGAUAUAAUAAAGAAUAUUGGCCCAGGCUGCCACUGUAAGCCUCUCAGCUACUGGGUUUUUAAGAUCAAUGUCACUGAGCAAGCAAACCGCUCAGGGUGAAAGGGGUAAAGAGAGAGAGAGAGAGAGAGCAAAGUUUGAGAAUCAUGGAUCUACAUCUUGCCCAAAUUGCAUCUAAAAUUGGGCUCAAAGGGAGUCGACUCCAUGACAAGAUCAAAUCCCCAAACCACAAAAGAAAUUAUCUUUGCAACCUAAUGAUGAUAAAAUUUAGCAGCCAAGCCAGUGGCAUCCACUUGAGAUGCUUGAAUGUACAUUAUAUGGGGUGGAAGUAGGUCAGCAAUUUUCUCUAACUAUCCUUUAAACUAAAACAGGGGGGAAAGAAGUCUGGAGGUAAUUCAUACAGCUUGGAGAACCAUGACCCACACUCAGUGCUGUUUUGGAUGAUGAGUGGGGGUAAAGGCGCUUUAAAUAAAUAAGUACAUGGCAGAAACUCAUCCACAGAAACAGAACAGGGGGACCACACAGGCAGAGGUGGAGCAAGCCGAUUGGGUACCUGGGGCGGCGUGCAUGCCCUGCGCCCAGGGGUGGGGCUAGCUGGGGCAGGACGCUCCACGGGACUUCUGAGGAGUCUGCCUGCCUCCUCCCACUCAGCUUCCCUACAGCUGAGGGGGAGGCAGCGUGCGGACCAUUUGGGGCAGCAUGGAGCCUGCGGGUGUCCAACCCACCUUGUCACUCCCAGAAGAGACGCGUGGCUUGGGCACACUGCAGGAUGCGCGGUGAGUGUCACCCGGCAUUUUGUCACACACACCCCAGUGGUGACACCCAGGGUGGCCCACCCCCACCCCCACCCUUCCUCCACCCCUGCCCAUAAUGUGCACUGUAGUGCUGAGUGCUUCUGUUCCAAUCAGUCAGCUAUAAAAUUCAGCCGGUAGAACACGAGACUCUUAAUCUCAGGGUCAUGGGUUUGAGCCCCAUGUUGGGCAAAAAGAUUCCUGCAUUGCAGAGGGUUUGACUAAAUGACCCUUGUGGUCCCUUCCAAUUCUGCAGUUCUAUGAUUCUCCACAGUAAUCGUCUAGUCCAUCUAGCCUGGUCUCUCCCCAAACCCAAACUAAAAGAAUCAAGCAGCAUUUCAUGGGACCACUAAGUAUGCUCUGUCCUCCUUGCAAAGUUUUGAGGGUUCUCUUCUCCUCCCUUAGUGUUUUCUUCCUCUUAACCUGAAGUCACAAAGAUAUCUCCCUCUUGUGCAUUGGUGGUGAAGGCAGAAUUUAGUUUACUUGCAAUGUGCAAACCAAAACACAGCUGUCCUUUAAAAUCCACACUUAUCUGAACUUUGUGAAGAAGUUUUCUGGCCAAAAGAUGUGUGUGUUAGGGGAAGUGUGUGUGAAAAUGUACAUAUUGGUGAAAGUAAUACACAAAAAUGAAUUAUAAUAAGGCAGGGGUUGGGGACUUUCAGCUCUUCAGUUGUUGCUGACACUACAACCCAGCCUGUGUGGCCAAUAGUGAAGGCAAAUGGGAGUUGUAGUUCAGCGACAUCUGGGGGAGGGAGAGAGGUUCUCCACUCCUAUAUUAGGUGGAAUUGCUUGCAAAAAAUGAGUAUAUUAGGGGGAGUUGCAAAAAAAAUGUAUGUUAGGAGAGAUGCACGCUUAGAUACUGAUUAACAUUUCUGAAGACUCGUGUGGCAAACUGAGGAUGGGGGAAAUGGGACCUUGUGCAUAGGUGAUGCCAUUUUGACUACAUAAGUAACAACACUCAUGCCUGAACAUUGGAAAAGGGGGAAAUACUGUGAGAAUUGAACACAUACUGUUGGAUGUGGAUUGAGAGAAUGUUAAUGGACUGGGUCUUUUGUUCAAUGCUGCUCAACAUUGCACCGCUAAUUGUCAUUAAAGAGGCAGUGAGGAGUAACAUAAAUCAUUUAUCAUUGAUGUGAUGAGGUGGAACAAGAUGAAGGGGGCAGUAUGAAGAACAUAGAGCAGAUGCCUAUCUUGUAUUAAACUAAUAGCUAGCAUUGCAGUUAAUUAAUGCUAAUGCAAGCAAAGCCAAUGUUCGCUAGUGCCUCUCAGAUGGGUGUGUGUGUGUGUGGAAAGAGCAUCCAGUCCUUAUAAAACAAACUGAUGAUGUUCAGAAACAGAAUUCAGAAUAGGAAAAUAUGGAUAACAGGAAAAUAUGGAUAGGAGCAUACUUGAAUCUCAGUGAUUUGUGUCACUGGACAGCAGGCGUAGCCUCCACCAACCAGUUUCUAUCUUAUUUCCAGAGAUGGAUGAAUCACUCUGUUCACAUCAUUUCUACAUGUGUUCAUCCUUAAGCCCAUUCCACUCUGCUUCUGCACUACUUUGCAAAAGAAUGUUAUUGAUUGAUGCAGUCACUGCUGAUGCAGUCACAUGGUAGCAGUGAGCCUGGACUAGGAUUCAAUGACUUAGCAUUUCACCACCCCCAAACUCCUCAUCUUGGAGCUUUCCACCGAUGGUUCUCUGUAGAUAUCUGGCCAGAAGCACUUUCAGUUGCCCGCAUGUUCAGCGGGUAGAAUAGGGCAGAGCUCUGUACUGACAGAAAAUGAUUCUAAUGUCACUCAGUUACAGGGACUAGCAGGUCUCGGAGGAGAAACACCUCUGCCAAAUUGAUAGUACCCCCUCCCCUGCCCAAUGCAAAGGGGGGGUUGUUAGUUCUGAUCCAAUCAGAAUUUGCAAAUAUCUCAUUUCUUAAGGAAUCCCUAUUUAUUUGCCAUUUUCAGCACAUUGAAAGCUAAUCUAGGAGCUGUUUUCAUCUUGUAAAAGUUUCAGUGAUCCAAAAUGUUACCCAAGGCAACAAUGCAAUGAGCUGCUUGGAAGCCAGUAAGAAAGAGUGGGUGGACCAAGGCCAGAGAGAAGAUUGCAGUAGUCAAGGCAAGAGGUGAUGAAGAAAUUCUUAUUUUUAUUUUUUUUGCCAAGGGGACUGGCAGAGAGGCUGGAAAGUUGUAAAAAGAGAAGUGACCUGAUUUGGUGACAUACUGAGUCUGGGUGGCAAGGGAAUGAGAGAGUGAAAUCAAGGGAAAAGCCACGCUUCUAUACUUGUACAGUCGUACAUUGCGAGUUGAACCUUUUGGCUCCCGGACGCCGCAAACCUGAAAGUGAGUUGUGAGGGACAGGGGAUACCGAGAGGUCCCUCCCAUCUUAAGGUCCAGCCCAUCCCCAAACGCUGGGGAGAGCAGGGAGAGCUCUGCCUCCAGCAGAGAAUCAGGAAGUGGUGUCCGAGGCUCAGGCAAGGUUGCGGAGCCACUGACCCAGGUGGGACAGGAAGGGGGGAGCCCGGGGGGAAGGCCAAUCCCCCCGACUCCGGAAUUGCGCAAAAAACGUCGGGGGAAGAGGCUGGGUCUCCCCAAGCUUCUUUGCUGGAAGAAAACGCGCCAACCUCCAUUCGGAGGUACUGACACCUGACCGAAAGCAUGUAUAUAGAUCGCUCUGAGCACUGUAAAUAAUCAGCACUUAAUAAAAGUCUAAAAGGACUAUGCUGCGAGGAGUCGUUACUCUAGAGUAGCCGCAUCAGCGUCUCUGACAUGAGUGUUCCGGUUUGUGAACGUUCUUUGGAACCCGAAUGUCCAACGCAGCUUCCGAUUGUCAGAAGCUGCGCCUUGGUUUCCAAAUGUUUUGGAAGUCAAACAGACUUCCAGAAUGGAUUCCAUUCGACUUCUGAGGUACGACUGUAUUGCAAUAUAUAUAAGGAUACAGAAAGAUUUAAUGCAGCGAAACUGUUCAAACUCCCUUGUUAUUUUUGUUGCUGCCAGGAGGUACAAAGUUGCUAAACUUACAUGAAAAUGUUGCCUUUAGUAUACCGUUACAUUAACUAUAUGCUGCUGUUUUAUUACUGCUCUUACUAUGAAAUUAUUCCUGCGCUUGUAAGUUGCUUUGAGCACAUUUUUGUGUGGAAAGGCAGCGUGCAAAUAAAGAAAUGAUAGAUUUUAAAGGUCUUUAUGUGUGUCAGAGUGGGAUCCAUAGAGAUGAAGAGAGAAUAAAAUAUUAUCUGUAUCGGGCAUGGAUAUUCUUAUUCCUAUGCAUUUAAUGCUAUGUUUGUUGAGGAAGCUGGAGGCAUGACAGGCAGAUCCAGGUUUUGAAUGCACCAAGUUUUCCAAGUGUUUGAAUAGGCCACAAUAUAUAAUCUCAUACAGCUUUCCAAAGAAUCAUUGGCAUCAUAUGGUAGUAAGUGUUACUUUAUAGUACCUGCCCACUAACAGCUGUAGAAAAUUCUCAGCCAUGUAUUUCCUUAAUAUGUAUUCUGCAGGCUUCUUUCUCCUUCAUACCUAUAUCUAACAAGAGUAAUGUUCCUCUUUGGGCAACUAAAGGUGAUGGAUCUAAUAAAUAUUAACACUUGCCUAGCUAUAAAAACAGAUGUUAGAAUCAAUCGGUACUUUAUGUUACCCUUCUGUUAAAAGAUUAUAUCACAAGAAAUGUGGUUAGUUUGGGUGGGUGGGGGGAACCAAGAUUUUUGUAUGAUGCUCAGCCUCAGCUGGCUGUAAACAAUAUUUGCGACCGAUCGGUUUGCGACCGCCACAGACCUGAAAGUGUUUACAUCCGGGUUCCGCAGUGCGCAGAUGCGAUCUGCGCAGCGGCACAUGCACAGAAGCGCUCUAUUGGCACUUCGCGCACGCGCAGAAGAGCCCCUCGGUUUACGGCAAACUCAGGGAGUGACCGGCUCCCCGGAACGAAUUGCGGUUGCAAACCGAGGUAUGACUGUAUAAUCUUCUGUCAUAUCAUCCCUCUAACCAUCUUCUUUCUUAACACCACCCCCCCCCAAAAAAAACCCAGAUAUUUUUGCCUUUCCCCUCAGGGAAGGUGCUCCAUCACCAAGAGUUGUUUUGAAUAGGAAUUGAAAAAUCUCUCAAUUUUUCAAGUUUUCUCAGUUUAUCACCUCCCCCCCCCCCUCAAUUUUAAGUUCAGUUCUCUACAAUUGCAUAUCAGUUUGUGGUUUGCUUAUUUGUUUGCUUUGAAAAUGAAUAUCCACCAGUACUUUAGGGUGAAUUUCUCCUAAUGUACACAUUUUUAUGUGCAAUUACAUAUAAGGAUGUAUAAGGAGAAAUGCGCAGUUUGUUGUAGGAAGAUGGAGAACUAUAUUUAAACCUGGAAAAAUGAGGAACUGAUACAAACCAAAAUAGACACAUUUGCCUGUCCCUAUGGCAUGCUCCCUGCAAUGGCAGGAGGGGCGAAAACUAGCCUUGGCAGGAACGCACCAGAGAUUUUGAGACAUUACAGUAAUGUUUUAUCAGUUGCAAAUACUGUUGACUCUUAGGGCCAAUGUCACAUUUCUAAUAGUUUCACCCUCUUCCUAACCAGGCUGGUAUGAUGAAGGGCUUCAUUAGGCUUACUAGUUGGAGGGAGUUAAUCCUUCCAAAUGGUUUUUGGAAAACUUUCCAGGGAGAAAGGUUUCCCUCUUUUUCCAUAUCAGUAGCCUGGAGAAAAUUGGGAUACUCACGCCCCCACCCCUACCUCUUACGCCAGCUUUUUAGGUAAGAAUGAAAACACUGGGAGAUUGAUCCUAGAUCUCUUCGGUUUUGUCCCUAAAUUAAAAGUUUUGUUUUCCAUUUCAAGGGCUAACUUGUGCCCC
Molecule: non-coding RNA, 16662 nt
Organism: Zootoca vivipara (common lizard)
Lineage: Eukaryota; Metazoa; Chordata; Lepidosauria; Squamata; Lacertidae
Source: RefSeq, a predicted model, not a curated record